Molecule: long non-coding RNA, 350 nt
Filed under: Rattus norvegicus (Norway rat)
Lineage: Eukaryota; Metazoa; Chordata; Mammalia; Rodentia; Muridae
Description: long non-coding RNA NONRATT014330
Source: RNAcentral
AAGAACAGUGUGUACAAAACGAGGAAAUGUCCUUCGUUAUUCUGUAGAUCCCUGUUUUCCCACGCUUCAGACUCACAGCGUCUCUCACUGAACCCGGAGCUCACCAUUUCUCACCUGUCGCUCACCAUAGCUACAGUGCCUGGCCAGCCAGCUCCAGGGAUCUUCCCGCCUUUGCUUCCCCACUACUAGGAUUAUAGCUCACACUGUCAUGCUCAGAUUUUUACAUGGGUCCUGGGGCUCCCAACUCAAGUGCACAGGCCUGUAGGGGAAGCAUUGUACCAACUGCCUCAUCCCCUCAGCCCUGCUGAUCCCAUUCAUGGAGUCUGCUUCAUAAACUGUGCUCAUCUUGG